GACACACUGGAACUGAAACACGGUCCAGACUCCUACGGGAGGCAGCAGUGGGGAAUUUUGCGCAGCAUGGGGGACCUGACGCAGCAACGCCGCGUGGAGGAUGAAGUCCCUUGGGACGUAAACUCCUUUCGACCGGGAAGAUACUGACGGUACCGGAUGAAGAAGCACCGGCUAACUCUGUGCCAGCAGCCGCGGUAAUAACAGAGGGUGCGAGCGUUGUUCGGAAUUAUUGGGCGUAAA
RNAcentral lists this ribosomal RNA (240 nucleotides) under uncultured Acidobacteriota bacterium. Its description in RNAcentral is "uncultured Acidobacteria bacterium partial 16S ribosomal RNA". It matches the Rfam family "Bacterial small subunit ribosomal RNA", at positions 307 to 564 of the family's 1533-position model. Lineage: Bacteria; Pseudomonadati; Acidobacteriota. The record is from RNAcentral.